AUAGUCACAAUCAUUACGAGCAGUCCAUUGCGCUCCAGGAAACACAUCCAUUACGCCAAGUCGUGCUUCAACACGUGAGUAAGGAUGGAGUGACCGACAGAGACGUCCAUUCCCGGAACGUCAUGGAAUAUGAAAAGCGUCUGAUUAAGAUACCUAGCGCACUGUUCGGAAGAACUGGAAGAAAAAGGCUUGAACGAACAAAAAUUCAGAGAAACCGAGGCAUUACUGAAAUAAUAGAAUCCAGAGAAGACACCGCAAGAUUCACAAUAGAGGCGUACAUCAUCGUUGACAGUGCGCUCGCAAAUCGUCUGAAACGCGACGGAAAGACCGUCGAAAAAUACGCCAAGGAAUUUGCUCAAAAGGCUAGUAGGCAAAACACACGUUUUCAUCUUCCUACUUUCAUC
Molecule: long non-coding RNA, 404 nt
Organism: Dermacentor andersoni
Lineage: Eukaryota; Metazoa; Arthropoda; Arachnida; Ixodida; Ixodidae
Source: RefSeq, a predicted model, not a curated record